RNAcentral lists this ribosomal RNA (489 nucleotides) under uncultured bacterium. RNAcentral describes it as "partial 16S ribosomal RNA". It matches the Rfam family "Bacterial small subunit ribosomal RNA", at positions 29 to 504 of the family's 1533-position model. The record is from RNAcentral.
AGUGAACGCUGGCGGUAGGCCUAACACAUGCAAGUCGAACGGCAGCACAGUAAGAGCUUGCUCUUACGGGUGGCGAGUGGCGGACGGGUGAGGAAUACAUCGGAAUCUACUUUUUCGUGGGGGAUAACGUAGGGAAACUUACGCUAAUACCGCAUACGACCUACGGGUGAAAGCAGGGGAUCUUCGGACCUUGCGCGAUUGAAUGAGCCGAUGUCGGAUUAGCUAGUUGGCGGGGUAAAGGCCCACCAAGGCGACGAUCCGUAGCUGGUCUGAGAGGAUGAUCAGCAACACUGGAACUGAGACACGGUCCAGACUCCUACGGGAGGCAGCAGUGGGGAAUAUUGGACAAUGGGCGCAAGCCUGAUCCAGCCAUACCGCGUGGGUGAAGAAGGCCUUCGGGUUGUAAAGCCCUUUUGUUGGGAAAGAAAAGCAGCAGGUUAAUACCCCGCUGUUCUGACGGUACCCAAAGAAUAAGCACCGGCUAACUUC